Molecule: ribosomal RNA, 254 nt
Filed under: uncultured bacterium
Lineage: Bacteria
Description: partial 16S ribosomal RNA
Rfam family: Bacterial small subunit ribosomal RNA
Source: RNAcentral
UACGGGGGGGGCAAGCGUUGUUCGGAAUCACUGGGCGUAAAGGGCUCGUAGGCGGCCAACUAAGUCAGACGUGAAAUCCCUCGGCUUAACCGGGGAACUGCGUCUGAUACUGGAUGGCUUGAGUUUGGGAGAGGGAUGCGGAAUUCCAGGUGUAGCGGUGAAAUGCGUAGAUAUCUGGAGGAACACCGGUGGCGAAGGCGGCAUCCUGGACCAACACUGACGCUGAGUGAGCGAAAGCCAGGGGAGCAAACGGG